AGAACUUAGCAGAGAUGCUUUUGGGUGCCCUUCGGGAACUCUGAGGCAGGUGCUGCAUGGCUGUCGUCAGCUCGUGUUGUGAAAUGUUGGGUUAAGUCCCGCAACGAGCGCAACCCUUAUCCUUUGUUGCCAGCGGUCCGGCCGGGAACUCAAAGGAGACUGCCAGUGAUAAACUGGAGGAAGGUGGGGAUGACGUCAAGUCAUCAUGGCCCUUACGAGUAGGGCUACACGCGUGCUACAAUGGCGCAUACAAAGAGAAGCGACCUCGCGAGAGCAAGCGGACCUCAUAAAGUGCGUCGUAGUCCGGAUUGGAGUCUGCAACUCGACUCCAUGAAGUCGGAAUCGCUAGUAAUCGUAGAUCAGAAUGCUACGGUGAAUACGUUCCCGGGCCUUGUACACACCGCCCGUCACACCAUGGGAGUGGGUUGCAAAAGAAGUAGGUAGCUUAACCUUCGGGAGGGCGCUUACCACUUUGUGAUUCAUGACUGGGGUGAAGUCGUAACAAGGUAAGCGUAGCGAG
This 520-nucleotide ribosomal RNA is filed under the name uncultured bacterium. RNAcentral describes it as "bacterial SSU rRNA". It matches the Rfam family "Bacterial small subunit ribosomal RNA", at positions 992 to 1509 of the family's 1533-position model. The record is from RNAcentral.